Molecule: ribosomal RNA, 253 nt
Filed under: uncultured bacterium
Lineage: Bacteria
Description: partial 16S ribosomal RNA
Rfam family: Bacterial small subunit ribosomal RNA
Source: RNAcentral
UACUAAAGGUGCAAGCGUUAAUCGGAAUUACUGGGCGUAAAGCGCGCGUAGGUGGUUUGUUAAGUUGGAUGUGAAAGCCCAGGGCUCAACCUUGGAACUGCAUUCAAAACUGACUCGCUAGAGUACGAGAGAGGUUAGUGGAAUUUCCUGUGUAGCGGUGAAAUGCGUAGAGAUGGGAAGGAACACCAGUGGCGAAGGCGACUGACUGGCUCGAUACUGACACUGAGGUGCGAAAGCGUGGGGAGCAAACAGG